GGGAUUGCCCUAGUAACGGCGAGUGAAGCGGCAACAGCUCAAAUUUGAAAUCUGGCCUCGGCCCGAGUUGUAAUUUGCAGAGGAAGCUUUAGGCGCGGCACCAUCUGAGUCCCCUGGAACGGGGCGCCAUAGAGGGUGAGAGCCCCGUAUAGUUGGACGCCCAGCCUGUGUAAAGCUCCUUCGACGAGUCGAGUAGUUUGGGAAUGCUGCUCAAAAUGGGAGGUAAAUUUCUUCUAAAGCUAAAUACCGGCCAGAGACCGAUAGCGCACAAGUAGAGUGAUCGAAAGAUGAAAAGCACUUUGAAAAGAGGGUUAAAUAGCACGUGAAAUUGUUGAAAGGGAAGCGCUUGUGACCAGACUUGCGCCGGGCGGAUCAUCCGGUGUUCUCACCGGUGCACUCCGCCCGGCUCAGGCCAGCAUCGGUUCUCGCGGGGGGAUAAAGGCCCCGGGAACGUAGCUCCUCCGGGAGUGUUAUAGCCCGGGGCGUAAUGCCCUCGCGGGGACCGAGGUUCGCGCAUCUGCAAGGAUGCUGGCGUAAUGGUCAUCAGCGACCCGUC
This 556-nucleotide ribosomal RNA is filed under the name Chaetomium sp. Its description in RNAcentral is "LSU rRNA". It matches the Rfam family "Eukaryotic large subunit ribosomal RNA", at positions 71 to 653 of the family's 3401-position model. Lineage: Eukaryota; Fungi; Ascomycota; Sordariomycetes; Sordariales; Chaetomiaceae. The record is from RNAcentral.